This 445-nucleotide ribosomal RNA is filed under the name uncultured bacterium. RNAcentral's name for it is "partial 16S ribosomal RNA". It matches the Rfam family "Bacterial small subunit ribosomal RNA", at positions 354 to 796 of the family's 1533-position model. The record is from RNAcentral.
GUAGGGAAUAUUGGUCAAUGGACGAAAGUCUGAACCAGCCAUUCCGCGUGCAGGAAGAAGAUUCUAUGGAUUGUAAACUGCUUUUAGCAGAGAAGAAACGCCUUCAUUGAUGAGGGUUUGACGGUAUCUGCGGAAUAAGCACCGGCUAACUCCGUGCCAGCAGCCGCGGUAAUACGGGGGGUGCAAGCGUUAUCCGGAAUCACUGGGUUUAAAGGGUGCGUAGGCGGGAAAUUAAGUCAGUGGUGAAAGUCUGUUGCUUAACGAUAGAAUUGCCGUUGAUACUGAUUUGCUUGAAUUGGGUUGAGGUUAGCGGAAUGUGACAUGUAGCGGUGAAAUGCAUAGAUAUGUCAUGGAACACCAAUUGCGAAGGCAGCUAGCUGGGCCUUGAUUGACGCUGAGGCACGAAAGCGUGGGUAGCGAACAGGAUUAGAUACCCGAGUAGUCC